Molecule: long non-coding RNA, 878 nt
Filed under: Cairina moschata (Muscovy duck)
Lineage: Eukaryota; Metazoa; Chordata; Aves; Anseriformes; Anatidae
Description: domestica (muscovy Duck (domestic type)) lncRNA (ENSCMMG00000008046.1)
Source: RNAcentral
GCUCAGAUUAGUAUUGAUAUAAGAAGUCCAGACACCGUGUCUUUCAAAAACAGAUAAAAAAUAUCAGCAUGUAUGCACCAUUUGCCUUUAAUCACAAAGGCAUACUGAACAUGCUUGAAAUGCCAAUAGUUUUAUAGAUUGCUGUGCCGUUUACUACUCCUCUAUUCUUCACUUUUUUUUUUCCCUUAAGAGAUGAAACCCAGUGCAGCAGCAUGACAGAAGAUACAUUGAACCAGUCAGCAGACCCAUGAAGAGAGAAACCGGACCUUUCUGUGGAAAUUUUACCAGAUGAGUGAUUUUAAACCUGACAUCAACAAUUACAAUGCCCACAGAACCAACUGCAUGUGAAAGGACUACAGUGAAAAUUCAGAGGUGUCCUGUUGUCCUUCAGGUACUUAAUGAUUUUGAUUCACAUUUAUCAAACAAACCCAUCAUCAUUAAGUCCUCUGGACAGACGAAGAACAAAAUGGCUGAUUGGCUUUAUGGAGAGUACAAAAGAAAAGGCAGUUUAAACAUGACAGCUGGUUCUUCGUUUGUGGACAUCUGCAGAAAGCUAACAGAAGUCAAUUUCCUGUGGAGAGCAACUUUUUGUCUGAGUGCAGUUAAGUUUGAUGUUAAUGGAAAACCCAUUUAAAACAAUGAUUACCCUAUGAAGAAAAAGUGAGUGCACUCAAGUGGAAACGGAAGACUUAUCGAUCAGUUUUCAGGUAAGGCUUACUUGCUUGACACUUCACAACAAAGAAAUGCAUUUUUAUUAGUUGGCCAGAUAGUUCAGAUUGCUUUCAUUCUUAAUAAAGACCUUCUUUAUAACAUUUAUAAAACUUUAUUACAGUUAUAAUAAUAAAAUCGGAUUUCAGAAUUCACACGAGAUCUUGAGG